GACGAGCGCUGGCGGCGUGCUUAACACAUGCAAGUCGAACGGAAAGGCCCUGCUUUUGUGGGGUGCUCGAGUGGCGAACGGGUGAGUAACACGUGAGUAACCUGCCCUUGACUUUGGGAUAACUUCAGGAAACUGGGGCUAAUACCGGAUAGGAGCUCCUGCUGCAUGGUGGGGGUUGGAAAGUUUCGGCGGUUGGGGAUGGACUCGCGGCUUAUCAGCUUGUUGGUGGGGUAGUGGCUUACCAAGGCUUUGACGGGUAGCCGGCCUGAGAGGGUGACCGGCCACAUUGGGACUGAGAUACGGCCCAGACUCCUACGGGAGGUAGCAGUGGGGAAUAUUGCACAAUGGGCGGAAGCCUGAUGCAGCAACGCCGCGUGCGGGAUGACGGCCUUCGGGUUGUAAACCGCUUUCGCCUGUGACGAAGCGUGAGUGACGGUAAUGGGUAAAGAAGCACCGGCUAACUACGUG
RNAcentral lists this ribosomal RNA (468 nucleotides) under uncultured bacterium. RNAcentral's name for it is "partial 16S ribosomal RNA". It matches the Rfam family "Bacterial small subunit ribosomal RNA", at positions 28 to 507 of the family's 1533-position model. The record is from RNAcentral.